Molecule: ribosomal RNA, 700 nt
Filed under: uncultured bacterium
Lineage: Bacteria
Description: bacterial SSU rRNA
Rfam family: Bacterial small subunit ribosomal RNA
Source: RNAcentral
AGAGUUUGAUCAUGGCUCAGAUUGAACGCUGGCGGCAGGCCUAACACAUGCAAGUCGAGCGGAAACAGGAAGGUGCUUGCACCUUUGCUGUCGAGCGGCGGACGGGUGAGUAAUGCCUAGGGAACUGCCCAGUCGAGGGGGAUAACAGUUGGAAACGACUGCUAAUACCGCAUACGCCCUACGGGGGAAAGGAGGGGACCUUCGGGCCUUUCGCGAUUGGAUGUACCUAGGUGGGAUUAGCUAGUUGGUAAGGUAAUGGCUUACCAAGGCGACGAUCCCUAGCUGGUCUGAGAGGAUGAUCAGCCACACUGGAACUGAGACACGGUCCAGACUCCUACGGGAGGCAGCAGUGGGGAAUAUUGCACAAUGGGCGAAAGCCUGAUGCAGCCAUGCCGCGUGUGUGAAGAAGGCCUUCGGGUUGUAAAGCACUUUCAGCGAGGAGGAAAGGUUGUAGUUUAAUAAACUACAGCUGUGACGUUACUCGCAGAAGAAGCACCGGCUAACUUCGUGCCAGCAGCCGCGGUAAUACGAGGGGUGCAAGCGUUAAUCGGAAUUACUGGGCGUAAAGCGUACGCAGGCGGUUUGUUAAGCAAGAUGUGAAAGCCCCGGGCUCAACCUGGGAAUUGCAUUUUGAACUGGCAAACUAGAGUCUUGUAGAGGGGGGUAGAAUUUCACGUGUAGCGGUGAAAUGCGUAGAGAU